RNAcentral lists this ribosomal RNA (638 nucleotides) under bacterium enrichment culture clone BIG B-Brut-27. RNAcentral's name for it is "bacterial SSU rRNA". It matches the Rfam family "Bacterial small subunit ribosomal RNA", at positions 8 to 649 of the family's 1533-position model. The record is from RNAcentral.
AGAGUUUGAUCAUGGCUCAGAACGAACGCUGGCGGCGUGCCUAACACAUGCAAGUCGAACGCGAACGGAAUCUUCGGAUUCCAAGUAGAGUGGCGCACGGGUGAGUAACACGUGGAUAACCUGCCCCAAAGUCUGGGAUAACACUUCGAAAGGGGUGCUAAUACCGGAUAAGCCCACGACAACCUCGGUUGAUGUGGGAAAAGAUUUAUUGCUUUGGGAUGGGUCCGCGGUCCAUUAGCUAGUUGGUGGGGUAAUGGCCUACCAAGGCUGCGAUGGAUAGCUGGUCUGAGAGGAUGAUCAGCCACACUGGAACUGAGACACGGUCCAGACUCCUACGGGAGGCAGCAGUGGGGAAUUUUGCGCAAUGGGGGAAACCCUGACGCAGCAACGCCGCGUGAAGGAUGAAGGCCUUUGGGUCGUAACUUCUGUCAGAGGGGAAGAAAUGCCCGCAAGGGAGCUGACGGUACCCUCAAAGGAAGCACCGGCUAACUCCGUGCCAGCAGCCGCGGUAAUACGGAGGGUGCAAGCGUUGCUCGGAAUUAUUGGGCGUAAAGAGCAUGUAGGCGGACUGUUAAGUCUGGUGUGAAAGCCCGGGGCUCAACCCCGGAAGUGCAUUGGAUACUGGCAGUCUUGAGUAU